This 662-nucleotide ribosomal RNA is filed under the name uncultured Cyanobacterium sp. RNAcentral's name for it is "bacterial SSU rRNA". It matches the Rfam family "Bacterial small subunit ribosomal RNA", at positions 99 to 795 of the family's 1533-position model. The record is from RNAcentral. Lineage: Bacteria; Bacillati; Cyanobacteriota; Cyanophyceae; Chroococcales; Geminocystaceae.
CGGACGGGUGAGUAACGCGUGAGAAUCUGCCCUUAGGAGGAGGAUAACAGCUGGAAACGGUUGCUAAUACUCCAUAUGCCGAGAGGUGAAAGGAUUUUCACCUAAGGAGGAGCUCGCGUCUGAUUAGCUAGUUGGUAAGGUAAUGGCUUACCAAGGCGACGAUCAGUAGCUGGUUUGAGAGGAUGAUCAGCCACACUGGGACUGAGACACGGCCCAGACUCUUACGGGAGGCAGCAGUAGGGAAUUUUCCGCAAUGGGCGAAAGCCUGACGGAGCAACGCCGCGCGAGGGACGAAGGCCUCUGGGCUGUAAACCUCUUUUCUCAAGGAAGAAGAUCUGACGGUACUUGAGGAAUAAGCCACGGCUAAUUCCGUGCCAGCAGCCGCGGUAAUACGGGAGUGGCAAGCGUUAUCCGGAAUUAUUGGGCGUAAAGCGUCCGCAGGCGGCUUUGUAAGUCUGCUGUCAAAACGUGGAGCUUAACUCCAUUUCGGCAGUGGAAACUACGAGGCUUGAGUGUGGUAGGGGCAGAGGGAAUUCCCGGUGUAGCGGUGAAAUGCGUAGAUAUCGGGAAGAACACCAGUGGCGAAGGCGCUCUGCUGGGCCAUAACUGACGCUCAUGGACGAAAGCCAGGGGAGCGAAAGGGAUUAGAUACCCCUGUAGUC